UUGAAUGGUCUUUGACCUUCUACCCCUCAAACCUGUGGAAGCAAAAAAUGUGCUUCGGCGUCCUUUGUUGGGCGCCGCUUUUAUGCAUAAGUCUGUGUGUCGUCUGAAUCAUACAAACGAAUCA
Molecule: unclassified non-coding RNA, 124 nt
Filed under: uncultured Archaeorhizomyces
Lineage: Eukaryota; Fungi; Ascomycota; Archaeorhizomycetes; Archaeorhizomycetales; Archaeorhizomycetaceae
Description: sequence contains ITS1
Source: RNAcentral